GCCCAAAAAGCUUGUACAAGCCCGAAAAUCCCCAAAAUUGAGAAGCUCCAACUCGAGCUUAUACAAAUCCCGGACUGUCUAAGCUAUAUCAUGCGUGUUCCAAGAAGCGCACAAUUGAGAAAAUAAUAAGAGUUCUUCGAAGAAAACCCUCAUUCCUCUGUGCAUGUUUCUCUUCAAUAUGGGAACCUACAAACAAUAUCGUUUUGUUCUCAGGACCGCAUCUCGAGGACUCUGAUUGGUGUGGGUGAACAACGUGAUGGGGUCUAUGUCUUCAAGGGUGUGGCACCGGUUCAAGCUUACAAGACAGAUGGAAUUGGAUCAUGCGAUUUGUGGCAUCAGAGAUUGGGACACCCUUCUUAUCAAACGAUUAACUUACUUCUUAAUAUCAGUAAUAGUAGGAACAAAACUUGUGAUGUUUGUUUGAAGGCAAAACAAACUAGAGAUGUCUUUAUUCAAAGCAGCAAUAAAGUGAUUGAUUGUUUUGCAUUAAUUCAUUGUGACUUAUGGGGUUCUUAUAGAGUACCUGCAUCUUGUGGUGUUGUAUAUUUUCUGACAAUUGUCGAU
Molecule: long non-coding RNA, 564 nt
Organism: Nelumbo nucifera (sacred lotus)
Lineage: Eukaryota; Viridiplantae; Streptophyta; Magnoliopsida; Proteales; Nelumbonaceae
Source: RefSeq, a predicted model, not a curated record